CGCCACACGCCCCGCCCAGUACGGUUUCUCCCGUCCCGUUAGGCGGGAGGGGCGCGUCCGGAGCGCGGUCUGACCUUGGGUGUCCUUGCGGGCGUGUCUUUCCGGGCAGGUGGUGCGCGCAGGUGCUGGCUAGCGGCAGCGUUACGUAGCCUUUAGGAGCUCAAGCUGUGGGCAGACUUUUGUGGUUUGUGUAAACUUGGGCAUCUUGUCCUUUUCCUCUCCAUGCCUCAGUUUCUUCAUUUACGACAUGGAAGUGAAGAUGGCAGCUACCUCAUGACUGGUGCAGAGUGUUCCGAACUAGGCAGUGAGCAUACUAAAAAGGAGUGAUGGGUUUUCUAGGGUGAGAAAGGGGCAUCCUGGUUAGGGGGAGAUGGGCAGGUGCUAACAGAAAUAAUAACAACAGUAACAUUCAGCCCUGAUGUGCUAGCACUGUGCUAAGUGCUUUACUUUCUUCAGCUCAUUUUAUUGUCCUAACAAAGUACCAGCCUCUUGCUUAUGAGUCGUCCACUCUCCGGGUACUCCUGGGAUGGCAGGAGCAGCCAUGGACCCAUCUUGACAUGGCAGUUCCUGCUGCAGCUGUGAAGGGGGUGGCCUGGCUCGGGGGACUGCACAAGAACGAGACCCACGUGAAUUACAAGCUCCCCCCAGGUAAAUCCUAAAGCACCCCUGGACAAGGCCUGAGACCACCAACCUGCUGUGUAACAGCGAGAAGGAACCUGGUGUCUCCAUGUCCUGCGCACCUCAGGGAUUCUGCUGGGCAGAGGGGCCGGAUUUUCACUGGUCUCCUCAGCUGGGUCUGUGCCCACUCUGGCUGCUUUCCAGAAAUCUGUUGCACUCGCAUGACAUCUCUCCCAUUCCCUUUGUCCCCUUGUGCUGGGACAAUUUGCAUGACACCGAAGUCCCUCACAGCAGCAGACCUCCAGAGACAGUGGCAUGGGGCUACCACCCGGAGAGGGAAGAAGGCAGUGGAACUCCCCGUGGAGAGGGAACCUGGAGAAGGGGUAAGGCGUCUAGGUGAUGUUGUUCAGCAGCAAGAUGGGGAGUCUGUGUCAGGGAGCUCUGAGGGCAGCGGCUGCUUUUCUGACCCCAGGAUUUAUCUUAUCUGUGGUACCAGAUGUUGGAUAUAGUUUUGCAGAAUGUGCAAAGCAGGCAGGCUCUAAAUGGCUAGAAAUGCUAUUUGAGCUAUAUUUAAAGCAAUUGGAUGUGUGAAAAUUUAAGUUUGGCACCAGCAAGCUUUGAGCUAAUAGUCCUGGCUUGCUGUGAAGAAAUAAAUAACAGAGGGCCAAUGUAUAGGGGCCAUCUUUGGCUCAUUUAUAUAACAAUCUUUAAUUUUUAUAUUGUGAGAUAAUGAUCAAGAUCAUCUUUUUCCAAAUGAAUAUUCAGUUGCUUCAGCACCAUUUGUUCCAAAAGGCUAUCAUUUUCCCCACCGACUUUCAUUCUGGCCUUUGUCGUAGUUUGACUGAAUACACCUGUAGAUCUAGUUCCAGAUUAUUUAUUCUGCUCUAUUUAUUUACUUGUCUAUCCUUAGCGACGGUACUUCACUGUCUUAAUUAUUGUAGCUUUAUAGUAAGUCUUGAAAUCAGGUUGUAUGCGUCCUCCAAUUUUGUUCUUCACAAUUAUCUUGGACAUUCUAGGUCCUUUGCAUUUCUAUAUAUAUUUUAGAAUCUGUCAAUUUCUCCAGAAAGCGUGCUGGGAGUACAUUGAAUCUAAAUAUUAUUUGAGAGAAAAUUGAUAUCUUUACAAUAUUUAAUAUUCCAGUAAAUGCUGUAUACUAUUGAUUUAGGUCUUUACAUUCUUUCAAUAAUGUUUUAUAAUUUUUUCUACAGAGGUCUCAUACAUAUUUUAUUAAAUUUAU
This is a long non-coding RNA of Equus caballus (horse), 1855 nucleotides long. RefSeq lists it as uncharacterized. The record is from RefSeq and is a predicted model, not a curated record. NCBI's taxonomy places the organism in Eukaryota, Metazoa, Chordata, Mammalia, Perissodactyla, Equidae.